GAUGAACGCUGGCGGCGUGCCUAAUACAUGCAAGUCGAGCGAACAGACGAGGAGCUUGCUCCUCUGACGUUAGCGGCGGACGGGUGAGUAACACGUGGAUAACCUACCUAUAAGACUGGGAUAACUUCGGGAAACCGGAGCUAAUACCGGAUAAUAUAUUGAACCGCAUGGUUCAAUAGUGAAAGACGGUUUUGCUGGCACUUAUAGAUGGAUCCGCGCCGCAUUAGCUAGUUGGUAAGGUAACGGCUUACCAAGGCGACGAUGCGUAGCCGACCUGAGAGGGUGAUCGGCCACACGGGAACUGAGACACGGUCCAGACUCCUACGGGAGGCAGCAGUAGGGAAUCUUACGCAAUGGGCGAAAGCCUGACGGAGCAACGCGGCGUGAGUGAUGAAGGUCUUCGGAUCGUAAAACUCUGUUAUUAGGGAAGAACAAAUGUGUAAGUAACUAUGCACGUCUUGACGGUACCUAGUCAGAAAGCCACGGCUAACUACGUG
This 497-nucleotide ribosomal RNA is filed under the name uncultured bacterium. Its description in RNAcentral is "partial 16S ribosomal RNA". It matches the Rfam family "Bacterial small subunit ribosomal RNA", at positions 28 to 507 of the family's 1533-position model. The record is from RNAcentral.